This 404-nucleotide ribosomal RNA is filed under the name uncultured bacterium. RNAcentral's name for it is "partial 16S ribosomal RNA". It matches the Rfam family "Bacterial small subunit ribosomal RNA", at positions 28 to 526 of the family's 1533-position model. The record is from RNAcentral.
GAUGAACGCUGACAGCAUGCUUAACACAUGCAAGUCAACUGUGGCGGACGGGUGAGUAACGCGUAAAGAACUUGCCUCACAGUUAGGGACAACAUUUGGAAACGAAUGCUAAUACCUGAUACUGUGAGAGAGCUUUGCGUCCCAUUAGCUAGUUGGAGAGGUAACGGCCAACCAAGUCUAGGAUGGGUAGCCAGCCUGAGAGGGUGAACGGCCACAAGGGGACUGAGACACGACCCUUACUCCUGCUGGAGGCAGGAGUGGGGAAUAGUGGACAAUGGACCAAAGUCUGAUCCAGCAAUUCUGUGUGCACGAUGAAGUUUUCGGAAUGUAAAGUGCUUUCAGUUGAGAAGCGGUACCAACAGAGGAAGUGACGGCUAAAUACGUGCCAGCAGCCGCGGUAAUUC